Molecule: ribosomal RNA, 760 nt
Filed under: uncultured Eikenella sp.
Lineage: Bacteria; Pseudomonadati; Pseudomonadota; Betaproteobacteria; Neisseriales; Neisseriaceae
Description: bacterial SSU rRNA
Rfam family: Bacterial small subunit ribosomal RNA
Source: RNAcentral
AUUGAACGCUGGCGGCAUGCUUUACACAUGCAAGUCGAACGGCAGCGGGGCAGUGCUUGCACUACUGUCCGGCGAGUGGCGAACGGGUGAGUAAUAUAUCGGAACGUACCGAGUAAUGGGGGAUAACCAAUCGAAAGAUUGGCUAAUACCGCAUACGUCCUAAGGGAGAAAGCGGGGGAUCGCAAGACCUCGCGUUAUUCGAGCGGCCGAUAACUGAUUAGCUAGUUGGUGGGGUAAAGGCCUACCAAGGCGACGAUCAGUAGCGGGUCUGAGAGGACGAUCCGCCACACUGGGACUGAGACACGGCCCAGACUCCUACGGGAGGCAGCAGUGGGGAAUUUUGGACAAUGGGGGCAACCCUGAUCCAGCCAUGCCGCGUGUAUGAAGAAGGCCUUCGGGUUGUAAAGUACUUUUGUUAGGGAAGAAAAGGGAAGUGCUAAUACCACUUUUUGCUGACGGUACCUAAAGAAUAAGCACCGGCUAACUACGUGCCAGCAGCCGCGGUAAUACGUAGGGUGCGAGCGUUAAUCGGAAUUACUGGGCGUAAAGCGAGCGCAGACGGUUAUUUAAGCAGGAUGUGAAAUCCCCGGGCUUAACCUGGGAGCUGCGUUCUGAACUGGAUAGCUAGAGUGUGUCAGAGGGGGGUAGAAUUCCACGUGUAGCAGUGAAAUGCGUAGAGAUGUGGAGGAAUACCGAUGGCGAAGGCAGCCCCCUGGGAUAACACUGACGUUCAUGCUCGAAAGCGUGGGUAGCAAACAGG